AGAGUUUGAUUCUGGCUCAGAUUGAACGCUGGCGGCAUGCCUUACACAUGCAAGUCGAACGGCAGCAUAGGAGCUUGCUCCUGAUGGCGAGUGGCGAACGGGUGAGUAAUAUAUCGGAACGUGCCCUAGAGUGGGGGAUAACUAGUCGAAAGACUAGCUAAUACCGCAUACGAUCUACGGAUGAAAGUGGGGGAUCGCAAGACCUCAUGCUCCUGGAGCGGCCGAUAUCUGAUUAGCUAGUUGGUGGGGUAAAAGCCUACCAAGGCAACGAUCAGUAGCUGGUCUGAGAGGACGACCAGCCACACUGGGACUGAGACACGGCCCAGACUCCUACGGGAGGCAGCAGUGGGGAAUUUUGGACAAUGGGGGCAACCCUGAUCCAGCAAUGCCGCGCGAGUGAAGAAGGCCUUCGGGUUGUAAAGCUCUUUUGUCAGGGAAGAAACGGUAGUAGCGAAUAACUAUUACUAAUGACGGUACCUGAAGAAUAAGCACCGGCUAACUACGUGCCAGCAGCCGCGGUAAUAAGGGCG
This 530-nucleotide ribosomal RNA is filed under the name uncultured beta proteobacterium. RNAcentral describes it as "bacterial SSU rRNA". It matches the Rfam family "Bacterial small subunit ribosomal RNA", at positions 8 to 534 of the family's 1533-position model. Lineage: Bacteria; Pseudomonadati; Pseudomonadota; Betaproteobacteria. The record is from RNAcentral.